RNAcentral lists this ribosomal RNA (497 nucleotides) under uncultured bacterium. RNAcentral's name for it is "partial 16S ribosomal RNA". It matches the Rfam family "Bacterial small subunit ribosomal RNA", at positions 28 to 507 of the family's 1533-position model. The record is from RNAcentral.
GAUGAACGCUGGCGGCGUGCCUAAUACAUGCAAGUCGAGCGAACGGACGAGAAGCUUGCUUCUCUGAUGUUAGCGGCGGACGGGUGAGUAACACGUGGAUAACCUACCUAUAAGACUGGGAUAACUUCGGGAAACCGGAGCUAAUACCGGAUAAUAUUUUGAACCGCAUGGUUCAAAAGUGAAAGACGGUCUUGCUGUCACUUAUAGAUGGAUCCGCGCUGCAUUAGCUAGUUGGUAAGGUAACGGCUUACCAAGGCAACGAUGCAUAGCCGACCUGAGAGGGUGAUCGGCCACACUGGAACUGAGACACGGUCCAGACUCCUACGGGAGGCAGCAGUAGGGAAUCUUCCGCAAUGGGCGAAAGCAUGACGGAGCAACGCCGCGUGAGUGAUGAAGGUCUUCGGAUCGUAAAACUCUGUUAUUAGGGAAGAACAUAUGUGUAAGUAACUGUGCACAUCUUGACGGUACCUAAUCAGAAAGCAACGGCUAACUACGUG